AACUUUGGACAAUGGGUGAAAGCCUGUUCUAGCAAUGCCGCGUGCAGGCUGAAGGCCUUCGGGUUGUAAACUGCUUUUGUACGGAACGAAAACCCUUGGGUUAAUACCCCGGAGUCAUGACGGUACCGUAAGAAUAAGCACAGGCUCACUACUUGCCAGCAGCCGCGGUAAUACGUAGGGUGCAAGCGUUAAUCGGAAUUACUGGGCGUAAAGCGUGCGCAGGCGGUUUUGUAAGACAGAGGUGAAAUCCCGGGGCUCAACCUGGGAACUGCCUUUGUGACUGCAAGGCUAGAGUAUGUCAGAGGGGGGUGGAAUUCCGCGUGUAGCAGUGAAAUGCGUAGAUAUGCGGAGGAACACCGAUGGCGAAGGCAACCCCCUGGGCCUGUACUGACGCUCAUGCACGAAAGCGUGGGGAGCAAACA
Molecule: ribosomal RNA, 422 nt
Filed under: uncultured bacterium
Lineage: Bacteria
Description: partial 16S ribosomal RNA
Rfam family: Bacterial small subunit ribosomal RNA
Source: RNAcentral